CUAGCUCCACCGAUCUAGAUCCCUCCCCUCCUCCACUCCUCCCCCCGAUACAGAUCCUUCCGCCGCCGCCCCGUCCUCCCCUUCCUUUCGUCGCCCACCUCUCCCCUCGCCUCCGCCACCCACCUCUCCCCCUCCCACAUCGCCGCUGCUGCCACACACUGCCAAUCCCCUCACUCCACCACGCCUUCUUCCUGUCCCGAUUGUCGGAUGGGCAUCGACACGGCCAGCGUCAAGAUGUCCAUGAACCCCUUCUGCGAGAUUGCCAUGGAGGAGGAGUUGCGGCUCCGUGAGGCCGGCGCCGCCUCCGAGGACAUCGCCGCACAGUCAGUCCCGCGUAGGCCGCCGACAUGCUCCGCACCACGCUCUCCAUGGGUGCCGACCGCGCCGUCCACAUCCUCCACAACCCCGGCCCCGCCCGCCCGCUCCCCCCGCUCGCCGUCGCCAAGAUCCUCCAUGCCCUCGUGCUCCAGGAGACCCCCGGGCUCCUCAUCCUCGGCAAGCAGAAUGCUCCCUCCAGGUGAAGUCGCCCACCGCAGCCCCAGGGGAUUCGUCUCCGAGGACGAGUUCCUCUCCAUCCCGGAGUUCUCCACCAACCCGCUCUCCCAGAGGUUGCUACAUAUGGUUGAUGGAUUGAACUUCAAGGAAUUUAUUUCUUUUCUCUCUACCUUCAGCGCAAGGGCCAGCCUUCAGCAAAAGAUUGAGUUGAUAUUUAAGGUGUAUGGCAUUGAUGGCAAGGGGAAAGUAUCCUUCAAGGACCUGGGAGAGGUUUCACGGGACCUAACAGGCUCAUCCAUGUCAGAGAAACAAAGAGAGAUAAUUAGUACCCUGCCAUCAUAAACACAUCAAGUGUGUAUAACUUGUUUCCAAAGUGAAGGGAACCCUGACACUAAAUUGUAGGUUUCUUCAUUGCAGUAAAUGUUCAGAGUAGCAUGCUUCGCAGUGCAAAUUCCUGUGUUGAUAUUUACUACUACAUCUAUUCGUAAAUAUAAGACUUUUAUUUAAGAACAGAGGAGCAUUAGCUAGGUGCAUCUGAAAAUGUUAUUCCAAUUUCCUCACAGAACCUGUACGCAAUCAAUCGGCAUAGGGAGUUUUACCAUGGUUGAACACAUGUGGAACACAUCAAUACACCCACUGAUUUUUUUCACUUGAUACAUGUGCUGCUCUUUUUCUAUCUAUGUAUGCAUCUAUCUAUUCCUACCAAGCAAAUGGAAACAAACAGUGGAACACUACCUAAUCUAGUCUUGUAUAGUUUCAGGUGUAUAAACUACAGACAGACUUGUAUAGUUUCAGGUCAGGCUCACGUUUCCCCUCCUGCCCGCCGACGCACUGCUUGCAAACAGAAAUGAAGCGUCAAUGAUAUGAACCACAACAAAAAUUGACAGAGCGCCAUGGACCCCAGAAGGGACGCAGCUGCUGGCUCUGCGCCAAAGAGAGCCAUGCAUGCGCCAUUGGUUUUGUCGUCCACCGCUCCUCCCCGUGUUACAGAGUACUUGCUUGUUGCUUCAUUGAAUUGCUUGGCUGGUGCUCGCAAUUGCGUGGUUUGGUUUCGUUUGACUUAGCACUGAAUCCCUCAAUUUACCAUUUAGUGAACAAUCCUCUCAUGGUAUUUGUCUACACUAGAUUACUCCUACUGUGAUGAUGAUGUGUCUGAUGAUAGACACCUUGCAACUAGCCACACAUGUACUGAUAGUUUAUUGUGAUUAUUACUGUACCAUGAGUCAUUCAACACUUGAAGGCACUGAACUACUAUUCUGUAUUUUAUAAUAUGUUCCUGUUAUGCAUGACAUAGGCUUGAUGAAA
Triticum aestivum (bread wheat) is the source of this 1800-nucleotide RNA transcript. RefSeq lists it as uncharacterized. The transcript is spliced from 6 exons. The record is from RefSeq and is a predicted model, not a curated record. NCBI's taxonomy places the organism in Eukaryota, Viridiplantae, Streptophyta, Magnoliopsida, Poales, Poaceae.